GCCCAGACUCCUACGGGAGGCAGCAGUGGGGAAUAUUGCACAAUGGGGGAAACCCUGAUGCAGCGACGCCGCGUGAGUGAAGAAGUAUUUCGGUAUGUAAAGCUCUAUCAGCAGGGAAGAAGAAGGACGGUACCUGAGUAAGAAGCCCCGGCUAACUACGUGCCAGCAGCCGCGGUAAUACGUAGGGGGCUAGCGUUAUCCGGAUUUACUGGGUGUAAAGGGAGCGUAGACGGCGAUGCAAGCCAGAUGUGAAAGCCCGGGGCUCAACCCCGGGACUGCAUUUGGAACUGUGUGGCUGGAGUGUCGGAGAGGCAGGCGGAAUUCCUAGUGUAGCGGUGAAAUGCGUAGAUAUUAGGAGGAACACCAGUGGCGAAGGCGGCCUGCUGGACGAUGACUGACGUUGAGGCCCGAAAGCGUGGGGAGCAAACAGGAUUAGAUACCCCAGUAAC
This 449-nucleotide ribosomal RNA is filed under the name uncultured bacterium. RNAcentral's name for it is "bacterial SSU rRNA". It matches the Rfam family "Bacterial small subunit ribosomal RNA", at positions 329 to 794 of the family's 1533-position model. The record is from RNAcentral.